UAAAGAUGAAAAUAUUCUUAAACAUGAAACCGUUUUGAUCAAGAUUCAAAAAAAACUUCAUUAAAAGAUAGGGACAUCUUCUGAAACAUAUCCAAAAAGCUCUAAUGAAAAACAGCAAGAUAAGGUCUUUGAGAUGUAAUGCAAACUCAAGGCCUAGGAAGAUCCUCCUUAACGGUUGGCCUUCGCAACUCUCUCAAUCUCAUCCUUCUUCUUGAUGGCAUAGCUGCAAAAAAACAAGACAAGAUGCUAUUAGUAUUUAGCAACAAACAAACACAAUUUGUGAACCCGCUUUAAGAGACAAGACAAUGUAAAGAUGUUUACCUGUUGGAAGAUCCCUUGGCAGCAUUGAUGAGCUCAUCAGCAAGGCACUCAGCGAUUGUCUUGAUGUUUCUAAACGCAGCUUCACGUGCACCAGUGGUGAGCAAGAAGAUGGCUUGGUUCACACGUCUUAGAGGAGAGAUAUCAACAGCCUGCCUCCUAACCACACCAGCAGAUCCAAUCCUCGUCGCAUCCUCACGUGGACCACUAGCUCACCAAUAAAACACACACAACAUUAGAAAAAAAGGUUUCUAGUAACACGCAAUAAAGAAUGCAACAUUGUUGUCUUACCUGUUGACAAUGGCAUCAAUGAUAACCUGAAUAGGGUUCAAGUCAGUCAAGAGAUGGAUGAUCUCCAUGGCGUGCUUGAUGAUCCUCACAGCCAUCAGCUUCUUUCCGUUGUUCCUUCCGUGCAUCAUGAGAGAGUUCGUGAGCCUCUCAACAAUGGGACACUGAGCCUUCCUGAACCUCUUGACAGAGUAUCUUCCAGCAGUGUGGGGGACAAAGGUCGCGUGCUUAGGAGGCUGAACCCCAAUGUAGUCAACAAGACUAAUGUCUGUGCCCUACCCAUUCACAAAAAAAAAAAACACAAGAUCAACAAAACAAAUACUAAGAACAUAGCCAUUGUUGCCAAUUUAAAUUUUAGAGAUCUAAUAUUCAAAAACAAACCAAACAACACAGAAAGUGUUGGACUUUAAGACAAAGAAACAUCAGGAUCAACCAAGUGUACUGAGACAAUAAAACAUGAAUUGAAAAUUAACAAAAAUAAAAACAAAAAGAGGACAUUUUUUCCGACAUAACUCCAUGAGUUAUAUCUAAUUCAGACAAUGUAACUAUUUUUUUGUAAUAGACCAAUCAUUUCAUUGUAGAAUUAGAUCCUAUAAAGAUUGCAAAUGAGCUAUCGUAAACUUACCGAAACGUCAUCAAAGCUCCAGCGAUUGAAGAGCUUGACCUCGUUGGUAAGCUGCUGCUGAAUCUCAGCGUCAAUCUCAACGGCGGCGGCCAUGGCUGGAAACACCAAACAUACUUACACUGCUUGUUACACAUCAGGUUUGAUGUUUGGGCUCUUGUGAUUAGUUUGUUUAUUGUUGAAUGUGUGUGAUAAUAUUGCGGCUGGCCGAGCUGGCUGGUUAAAGAACACAACCAGACAGUAAAGUAAAACAGUCGCAUACAUUAAAGAUUUUGUGGAACGUAUAACCAGCUCCUGUCUGUCCUAGAAUUGGCGGUUCAGGAUAGAACUGUUCCUUACAUACUGGAACUUCCAGUAGAAUUUGAUGCUAAUUGUUGGUCCUAAACUAGUGUGUAUCAGUUGCUAUGUGAUCUCAUAACUGGACCUUAUCUUAUGGUUUGUGCUUGAGGUUUCUGAGAAAUCGCUGGGUUCAUUUGAUUCUUCUGGUUUGACAAUUAGUUUCUUGUUAUGGACACGGUGAAAUCAGACUCAAAUCGGUGGAAUAAGACAGCCUCAAAGAAGGCAGACAUAAUCAUGUUUGCUCUUGAUUCAUCUUCAAUCUCAACAGGACAUUAAAAUCAAUUUGUAGCUUUAUUUUGUUAGUAUAUAGAUUUGAUGAAAUAAACAACCUUUAAAUUAUAAAUAUAAAGAUGAAAAUAUUCUUAAACAUGAAACCGUUUUGAUCAAGAUUCAAAAAAAACUUCAUUAAAAGAUAGGGACAUCUUCUGAAACAUAUCCAAAAAGCUCUAAUGAAAAACAGCAAGAUAAGGUCUUUGAGAUGUAAUGCAAACUCCUUACAUAGCCAUUGAACUGCUGUUCAGCUGUCUGAACCUCAGAGGCUGAAGACAUAGUCACAAACCCAAAACCUCUGCUUCUCCCUGUCACCUUGUCAUAGAUAACCUAAACAAAGACAACAAAACGAACAAUCACUAAAACCAAUCUCAAACAACAACAACAACAACAACAAAAAAGAUUCAAUCUUUAUCUCAUUUCUCGAAAACCCAUAACUCAAUUUUGAGUUUUUGACUCGUUACCUCAACCAUCUCGACGUUUCCGGCGCUCUCGAAGAGCUGAGCGAGCUGAGCGCUGUCGACGUUAAAGGGGAGGUUACCGACGAAGAGCUUGAGGUCAGAAGAGAAGGAUUGCUCCCGCCGCGGGGGAGGAGGAGCGUCGUCGUCAGCGAAGAUGCCGUCUUCUUCGACUGAGAAGUCGUCAGUAACCGCGACGUUACGGACGAAGCGAGAGGAAGCGGCGGAGAUGGAGAGGGAGAGGGAGGCGGAGAGGGAGUGGAGAUUGAAGGAGAGGGAAGGAGGUAGGAGGGAAACGGAGGCGGGUCUGGAGAUGGAGAAAGGAAGGGACUUGGGGGUGAAAGUGGAGAGAGCGAGAGAGGAAGCUGAAGCAGCCAUGGUGAAGAGAUGAGAAGAGAUAAGGUUUGUUUUUAGCUUUAGGGGUUUUUGAGAGUGGAGAUAAGAUGGUGUGUUUCUGAUAUUUAUGGGCCAAAUGGGAAUAAAUAUCUUUGCACAAAAUAUCUCAUUCUGAUUUUUAUUUACAAAUUUUGCCUCAAAACUUUAUUUGAUUGCUAAAUAUUCUGCUGCUAAUAAAAUUUGUCAAAUUUCAAUGAAUUUAUCUUAACGUCAUCUCUGAAAAAAAGUAUGUAUUUAAAAAAAAUAUAGGUUUUCAUAAAUUUGUAGACAAUUUCUUUAGAAAAUCUUAAUUUUCAAAAUAUUUUGUAUUUUUCUCACUUUAGUGGUGUUAGUUAUCUUUUUAUUGGAAGUCUCUACUUACUACUUGUCAUACGCUGAAGUGAGAUGACAGAUGAGAUGAGAUCUAAGCCGUAGAGUUUUGGAUGGACAGUGGAGAUGGCACGUCUCAUGCCAAAACCAAAAGAAAAAAUCUAUAAGAUAGGAUUUUUUAACUAAAAGCCAAUGGAAGUAGCAACUCUCGUUCCAGCACAGAUCUUUAACUCCAAUAAAUUCAGAAAACAAUACAGUUCCUCUAAAGAAAACCAUUGAAUCAUACAAAGGUUGCUCCCUUCAAAACAAGUUAAUAAGAAAUGAUGUAUUUGGAUAACAACAGAAGACUGAAGUUCUUGAACUGCAACACGCUUUUAGGAUCUCUUCAAUUGGAGGGUCAUCUCGAGCUUCUUUGUCCUGAAAUGUUCCAACAAACAAGUUGUUGAGUACGAGAUUGUGAUUAAUUUAUCUCUUUGAUUACAUUGACAUGGUGUAAACACAAGUAUUUGAUCAAAACGUGUUACCUGGUCCAUACUCCCCGGUCCGAUCAAAACAAGAGAAACACCAGAUGCAUCCAUCACAUGCUAAGAAAACCUCAAAUGUAUCACUUAAUGAAAUGACCAAACCAUCAUCAAGAUUUUGACAGUGGGGUGAAUCAUUUUACCUUCUUUUACGACAAGCAAGCUUUAAUACCCAACAUAGUAGUAGUAACCAAACACAUUCACCAAAUCUAAUAAGAAACUUCUCCAAAAAGAUUUAACCACCCAAAAUGACGAGCAAAUGCAACAACAGCCUUCCUAUCCUUCCACAAAAUCAGAAAUCAACAGUCUCUCUCCCUGUUCCAGUUCCUGUGAAGAAGAACCGAUUCAAUCUAGUUUAUAAUCUUUUCAGCUUCUCCAAAACAGAACAGAUUCUAAAACUUACCUGAAGCGCCGGUAAUGGCCGACACUGCCACCACGUUACGCCGGAGAGAAAAAUCUACUGGAGAUGAGAACUGGCCAAAGAACCAAACUUUACUGUCCCGUAAACCCAUGAAUCGUUUUUCAUCUUCUGAUUCAGCGUAACGGGAGUGAUCGUCGACGAAGACGGCGAUGAGAGAGAAACCGCCAUUGUUGUUUUUACUCCGGGAAAGCCGAAAGAAAUAAGAAAAAUCCUAACUUUAACGUUUUAGUUAGAAAAAAAAAAUCAAAUUAAAAAAAAUCAAACUUUAAGUUAUUACACGUUGUAUAGAUGACGUAAGCAUUGUCCGAAACAGAAAAAAGUCAAACGCCACGUAAGCUCAGUAAGAGUAAAAUUUUUUGGAAAAGGUAGAUCUUUUUUAAAAGCGAACUAGAUUUUGAUCCGCACAUCCGUGCGGGUAUUCGUUUAAACUUUUAAAAACAUACAAUAGAUAUUUACAUAAAAUUGUUAUAUUAGCGUUUUAUACCAGCUCAAAUAAGAUAAGCUUUUAGCACAUAUAUAAUUAUUAGUAAUACUAUAAGUAAGUAAUUAUUUGAGGUUUAUUUAUUUUAUGUUAUUCAUGUACAUUAAUAUUUAAAAUUUUAAAAAUAGUUAUUAUAUAUAAUAUAAAUGGACUACUUAGUUUUGGAAAGGAAAAAAAUUGAUAUUUUUUAAUAUUUAUGGAAUGGUAAAAACUAUUUUAUAUUGAUUUUAUAUCAUAUCAUUCGUAUUAAUAUAUAUAUGUACAGUUCACAACAGGUAAAAUUAAUUAAUUUUUAACUUUAAGAAAGAUUUUGUUAAGAUAUAUUAUCAUUUGAAACAAUAAUUAAUAUUUCCAUAUAUAAAAGUAAUUGAUGGUAUAUUUUUAAGGAAGAUUUUGUUAAGUUUAACUAAUAUAGUGCUCUUUUGCGAAAUAGACACUUUUUAUUAAUAAUAUUUUAUACGUACAAUCAUAUAAAUAAUCACAUAUAUUAUAUUUUAAAAUUUAAUGUGAAAUAUAAAAGCUAUAAUUUAAGUUGGUGUUUGAAAUUGGGCUUUGUAUUGCAUUUUUUUUUAUAUAUUGAAAAUAUUUUUAUAAUAGUUAUUGGAAAAUAUGUUAGUAAAAAUUAAAUUUUGAAUAUAUGUAUACUUUUAAAUGAAUUUUUGAUAUAAAUCAAUUUUAAAUUAUUAUUUUGAUUUGAAUAUAUAUAUCAAGUAACAUAGACCCAUUAUUUUUUAAUAUAAUAUAAUAGACUUCCAAUUUUUUAGUAGCAUAAGCCUAAUAUGUUUUUUCCUAACUUACUACUAUCUAUGUUUCCAAACAAUACUAUUUUUUUUAACUACUAUCCAUAUUGCCAAACAAUCUCAGUGUGUACUUCAACUUUAAUAAUAUAUAUAUAUAUAGAUGUUCCUUCUUUGCACGUUUAAGGGAUCUCAAGCCGCUUCUCUCUCUCACACAUCUCUGAAAUGGCGAGAGUAUUGCGUGUGGCGAGAUCCUCCUCCUCCCUCUUCAGCUUCGGAAGCAGAUCUUAUUCAGCCGAAGCUAGCCACGUGUCCUCUCCCCCUCCUCCGUUUCUUGGAGCUCGCAGGGGCUUUACCAAGGAGAGAAACGUGCAGUGGGUGUUCCUCGGUUGUCCCGGUGUCGGAAAGGGGACUUACGCUAGCAGACUCUCGAGUCUCCUCGGUGUUCCUCACAUCGCCACCGGAGAUCUCGUCCGUGAUGCGCUAGCUUCUUCCGGACCUCUCUCCCAACAGGUUCUUGUUUCACUUUUAUGUCCAAAUGAAUCCCAAAACGACGUCGUUUUCCGUUAGAUCUGUUAAAAGUUCAUGUGUCUACCAACAGAUCUAAUGAACUAGUGUUUGUGUCCUAACGGAUCUGAUCCUUUUUUUAAUAAUAGUCAACGGCUCUCUCUCUCUCCUCUUGCUUGUAUUGAGAUUCUUAUUACUUGAUUGCAGCUAUCAGAGAUUGUAAACCAGGGGAAGCUUGUUUCAGAUGAGAUCAUAGUGAACCUAUUAUCAAAGAGACUUGAAGCUGGUGAAGCCAAAGGUGAAUCAGGUUUCAUUCUUGACGGCUUUCCUCGCACCAUGAGACAAGCUGUAAGUUAGUAAACUUAUUAUUAUAUUUAACCCAUUUUUUAGAAAGUUUUAAUCUUUUUAUAUUUCAGGAAAUACUAGGAGAUGUCACUGACAUCGAUCUAGUGGUGAACUUAAAGCUACCUGAGGAGGUUUUGGUUGACAAAUGCCUUGGCAGGAGGACGUGUAAUCAGUGCGGUAAAGGUUUCAAUAUAGCUCACAUCAACUUAAAGGGUGAGAACGGGAAACCAGGAAUCAGCAUGGAUCCGCUUCUCCCUCCACCUCAGUGUAUGUCAAAGCUCAUCACUCGUGCUGAUGAUACUGAGGAGGUUGUGAAAGCUAGGCUUCGUAUUUACAAUGAAACCGUAGGUCCUCUUUCUCUAUUGUCCUUACCUUUUAGCUGUGAAGCGAUGCUUGAUGCUUUGAAUGAUUGUGUGCAGAGCCAGCCUCUUGAAGAGUACUACCGUAGCAAGGGAAAGCUUAUGGAGUUUGACUUACCUGGAGGCAUCCCUGAGUCUUGGCCAAGGCUGUUAGAAGCUUUAAGGCUUGAUGAUUACGAGGAGAAGCAAUCUGCCGCGGCGUAGUUCAACUACAACUCCGGUAUUUAUAAUUCUUUGCAUGUGGAAGACAUGUGCCUAUAUCAGUUUUGUGUUGGAAAAUAAAGAAAACCUUAGGUUGUUUUUUUUAUUGCCUCAGAUCAGAAUAAUCAUUCAUCAUAUACACUUUGCAAACUAUAUGAUGUAUCAUGAUUGUUUAUGAGUUUGCUAGUUACAGGAAUGUAUAAACACUUUGGUACACUUUUGAUUAUUUAUUGUUGAAUGUGAUCAAUGAUUGUUUAUGAGUUUGCUAGUUACAUUACAUGAAUGUAUCAAUACUUACACUGCUUGUUACACAUCAGGUUUGAUGUUUGGGCUCUUGUGAUUAGUUUGUUUAUUGUUGAAUGUGUGUGAUAAUAUUGCGGCUGGCCGAGCUGGCUGGUUAAAGAACACAACCAGACAGUAAAGUAAAACAGUCGCAUACAUUAAAGAUUUUGUGGAACGUAUAACCAGCUCCUGUCUGUCCUAGAAUUGGCGGUUCAGGAUAGAACUGUUCCUUACAUACUGGAACUUCCAGUAGAAUUUGAUGCUAAUUGUUGGUCCUAAACUCCCUAGUGUGUAUCAGUUGCUAUGUGAUCUCAUAACAGGACCUUAGCUUAUGGUUUGUGCUUGAGGUUUCUGAGAAAUCGCUGGGUUACUUCAUUUGAUUCUUCUGGUUUGACAAUUAGUUUCUUGUUAUGGACACGGUGAAAUCAGACUCAAGUGAAAGGCUAAACCACAUCGUAUAGCUAUUUAAAUCACAAUAGUGAACAUGUACUUUAGAGAUGUCUCACUUACUGUACCUCAGUCACUAGUAUCUCUUGGUAGUGACUUAUAGUGUUGUCUUGGCACGUGUGAAUCAUUUCAAAAGGAGUAAAAUGUUUUCUUCUUCUAUAUGUACAUUCGGAGUUAAGAAAAUGUGUAUAAGACCCUAACAAUGUAUAUAUUACCAUCCUCUUUGGAGCAGUCAAAGCAAUGCAUCUAAAAACAAAACAUAUAGGAUGAAUGAGGGUUAACAACUGUUCCAUGGUCGACAAACUAAACUGGUGGAGCUUUGGAUUCUGGUUGCAGAAGCAGUCAGUGUGAUGAAGAAGAGCUUGAUGGUCCAACCAGAUGCAAAAGAAGGUGAGACCAGUAGGCUUUAGCUUGUUUUAAACACUUUCUGCAAUCUACAGUUACAAGUAAGUUUGCUGAUAAUAGGCUAUCGGUGGAAUAAGACAUUUGAUGAUUCAUCUUCAAUCUCAACAGGACAUUAAAAUCAAUUUGUAGUUUUAUUUUGUUAGUAUAUAGAUUUGUUGCAAUAAACAACCUUUAAAUUAUAAAUAUAAAGAUGAAAAUAUUCUUAAACAUGAAACCGUUUUGAUCAAGAUUCAAAAAAACUUCAUUAAAAGAUAGGGACAUCUUCUGAAACAUAUCCAAAAAGCUCUAAUGAAAAACAGCAAGAUAAGGUCUUUGAGAUGUAAUGCAAACUCAAGGCCUAGGAAGAUCCUCCUUAACGGUUGGCCUUCGCAACUCUCUCAAUCUCAUCCUUCUUCUUGAUGGCAUAG
This 8113-nucleotide long non-coding RNA is filed under the name Brassica napus (rape). RNAcentral describes it as "long non-coding RNA (BNAP_LNC003748)". The record is from RNAcentral. Lineage: Eukaryota; Viridiplantae; Streptophyta; Magnoliopsida; Brassicales; Brassicaceae.